CCUGCCAUCUAUCCGGCCCGCAGGCUGCCAGUUUGACAGAACUGGCCUAAUUUAUCUGCCGAGGGCGGAUUUGAACUAUUGUUUCCUGGUUUCUACCUUGGUGUAACCAUUAUAUAAGAUUGGUUAUCUAGUAGACAUUUUAGGAGAAGGGAAAUCAAGGUGCCACGUAUAUCCCUUUAAAAAUUAUGGUAUAAUAAAAUAUGACCCAUAUCCAUGCCUGACAACUAGCAAGAAAGAGCUAUUUCAGGUAAUCCUCAUCUAGCAACCACAAUUGAUUCUGUUGAAAUGGCUGCAAAGUGACCUGGUCAUUAAGUGAACCAUGUGAUGGGUGGGAGACAGAGAGACUGAAAAACUACUAAUUGUUUCAGGCUUAGAAUUCAGAUAGAGAAGCCCUGGAUGAAGAGAGAGAUCUUCAUUAGACAUCUAGAAGAUGUAACAGCUGGCAUCUUGCUAAUUUCGGAAGAGAGAGAGAGAGAGUUCCCGAGUUUAAGACAUCAUAUAAUGUACAUACCAGUAAGUGAUCAUUAGAUUGUAUAAUCAUGGACCUGGAAGAAUUGUUUAAACAACUGAUCCAAAUGCCACUUGAGUGUAUACAAAAUAAAGCCUUUCAACAGAUAGAUUUCUAACCUCUUCCGGAAUACAUAUACUGAAACAGGAGCACAUCACCUUUCUGGGUAAUUGACUUUUCUGACAUUCUCUCUAGUUCCAGGUCAUCCUGAAGUCCUUUAUAUCUACUGUUUUUAAAACCUCAUGUGUGUCCUUUAUUUUUUCUUUAGAACUUUGAUAAACUUUUUUUAGAGUCACAGAUGUUUUUUCUUUCCUGACCUCCAUUUUUUCUCCUUACUUGAAUUAUAUGCAGUUGUGCUUUUAAUGUACCUUUUUGGGGAAUUUCUACUCACCUGGAGCUCCUUUUUCCAUUAGCUUCUCCAACUAUGGAAUCCUAGGUAUUAUAGUUUUGAAUUUAUUAACAUUCGUUACAUUCAGCUUUAGUUUCUCUGAAAAAAAUUAAGAACAUUGACAUAUGAUGGUCAUUUUCUAAAUAGUUUUGAUUUUUUUUAUACUUUCCGAUUUCUCAUCAAUUUAUAAUUUAACAUUUUGUUAAUAAUACCAUGCUUGCAAGGAUGAAUAAAAUGGAAUCCACUGACUGUUUUGCAGGAACUAUAUUUGUCCGAGAAUGUAUUUUUAAAUAAAAUAGAAUAUCUUUUGGAU
Non-coding RNA from Pantherophis guttatus, 1209 nucleotides. The record is from RefSeq and is a predicted model, not a curated record. NCBI's taxonomy places the organism in Eukaryota, Metazoa, Chordata, Lepidosauria, Squamata, Colubridae.